This 264-nucleotide ribosomal RNA is filed under the name uncultured bacterium. RNAcentral describes it as "partial 16S ribosomal RNA". It matches the Rfam family "Bacterial small subunit ribosomal RNA", at positions 793 to 1055 of the family's 1533-position model. The record is from RNAcentral.
GUCCACGCCCUAAACGAUGCAUAUUUGGUGUGGGUCAUUCAGUUGAUCCGUGCCGGAGCUAACGCGUUAAAUAUGCCGCCUGGGGAGUACAGUCGCAAGGCUGAAACUCAAAGGAAUUGACGGGGCCCGCACAAGCGGUGGAGCAUGUGGUUCAAUUCGACGCAACGCGAAGAACCUUACCUGGGCUCGAAAUGCUAUGGACAGUCUGUGAAAGCAGAUCUUCCCCUUAAAAGGACCGUAGUAUAGGUGCUGCAUGGCUGUCGU